Molecule: ribosomal RNA, 253 nt
Filed under: uncultured bacterium
Lineage: Bacteria
Description: partial 16S ribosomal RNA
Rfam family: Bacterial small subunit ribosomal RNA
Source: RNAcentral
UACGUAGGGUGCAAGCGUUAAUCGGAAUUACUGGGCGUAAAGCGUGCGUAGACGGCUAUCUAAGUCGGGUGUGAAAGCCCCGGGCUCAACCUGGGAAUUGCAUUCGAGACUGAAUAGCUAGGGUACGGUAGAGGGAAGUGGAAUUUCCGGUGUAGCGGUGAAAUGCGUAGAUAUCGGAAGGAACAUCAGUGGCGAAAGCGACUUCCUGGACCAGCACCGACGUUCAGGCACGAAAGCGUGGGGAGCAAACAGG